This 497-nucleotide ribosomal RNA is filed under the name uncultured bacterium. RNAcentral describes it as "partial 16S ribosomal RNA". It matches the Rfam family "Bacterial small subunit ribosomal RNA", at positions 28 to 507 of the family's 1533-position model. The record is from RNAcentral.
GAUGAACGCUGGCGGCGUGCCUAAUACAUGCAAGUCGAGCGAACAGACGAGGAGCUUGCUCCUCUGACGUUAGUGGCGGACGGGUGAGUAACACGUGGAUAACCUACCUAUAAGACUGGGAUAACUUCGGGAAACCGGAGCUAAUACCGGAUAAUAUAUUGAACCGCAUGGUUCAAUAGUGAAAGACGGUUUUGCUGUCACUUAUAGAUGGAUCCGCGCCGCAUUAGCUAGUUGGUAAGGUAACGGCUUACCAAGGCAACGAUGCGUAGCCGACCUGAGAGGGUGAUCGGCCGCACUGGAACUGAGACACGGUCCAGACUCCUACGGGAGGCAGCAGUAGGGAAUCUUCCGCAAUGGGCGAAAGCCUGACGGAGCAACGCCGCGUGAGUGAUGAAGGUCUUCGGAUCGUAAAACUCUGUUAUUAGGGAAGAACAAAUGUGUAAGUAACUAUGCACGUCUUGACGGUACCUAAUCAGAAAGCCACGGCUAACUACGUG